Rhodotorula sp. JG-1b is the source of this 74-nucleotide transfer RNA. It matches the Rfam family "tRNA". From Rfam's summary of the family: Transfer RNA (tRNA) molecules are approximately 80 nucleotides in length. Their secondary structure includes four short double-helical elements and three loops (D, anti-codon, and T loops). The record is from Rfam. NCBI's taxonomy places the organism in Eukaryota, Fungi, Basidiomycota, Microbotryomycetes, Sporidiobolales, Sporidiobolaceae.
GCCGGGAUCGUCUAGAGGUUUAUGAUAUCGCUCUUGUAAAGCGAAGGUCGGGUGUUCGACUCACUCUUCCGGCA